AUGCCGCGGUCGCCGUCGCCGGAGCCGGAGAGGAGCUACCCCGCGCGCCGGAGGGGAGGCGGAGGCGGGAGCCACGUCCUGUCGUCGCGCUGCCGCUCGCCGUCGCCGCCGCCGCGCCGGUCGCUCCGCCCGCGCCGCGCCGCCGCCGCGUCCUCUCGCCCGCUCGUCGACGACUUCUUCCCUUUCCCCUCGUCGCCCUCCUUGUCGCCGCCCCGCCCCCAGCACCGGAGGGCGCCGUCGCCGGAGCCGUCCAGCUCCGACUCCGACGGAGGCGGCGUGGCUGGCUCCUCCGCCUCCGACCGCCGCCGGCGCAAGCUCAAGCUCGUCGUCAAGCUUUCCCAGCUUCCUCCGGACCAGCACCAUCGCCGGGCCCCACCUCCCCCUCCCUACUCGGACUCAUCGGAGGGGGAGGACCGGCCGGCUGGCGGAGGCGAGGAGCAGGUCAAGCCGCCCAAGAAGCGCCGGAUCGAGUCGCGCGACGACAGAUCUCGCAGUCGCGAGGUUGCUGGGAGGAGCGACGCUGCCAGCGCGCCGCGGACGAAGCGGCUUCCGGUGCCAGGGAUGGCAAGGACAACGCCGCUGCCGGACCGGCAGGCGCUGGAUAUGAUUCUUGACAAGCUGCAGAAGAAGGAUACGUACGGUGUGUUUGCUGAGCCGGUGGAUCCGGAGGAGUUGCCUGACUACAAUGAUGUGAUUGAGCACCCAAUGGACUUCGGCACCGUCAAGAGGAAGCUUGCUAGGAAUGCAUAUCGCUCGUUCGAGCAAUUCGAGGAUGAUGUUUUCUUAAUUUGCAGCAAUGCAAUGGUGUACAAUGCGCCUGAUACGGUUUACUUCAGACAGGCCCAUUCCAUACAAGAGCUGGCAAGAAAGAAGUUUCAAGAACUUAGGGACGAGGGCAUACCUACAGAAAACCAAGUAAAGAGUGAACAGAAAGUUGGACCUAUUCCGUGCAACAGAGGACCAAUCAAGAAGCCUGUUUUGAGGUAUUCAGAUGAUGAUCUAGACUUCUUGACCCGUAAAGAGCAAAUUAAGAGACCAAAUGCAAAAAUUUCUGGAGCUGACAUAAGCUUCAGAGAUCAAGUGAAGAAACCCGUCUCUAGGAAUUCAGAGAACGACUUAAGUUCUUCAUUCCACAAAGAACGAGUUAAGAAACCGAUUUUCAGAAAUUCAGAGAACAAUUUGAGUUCCUCGUUUCAUGGAGAGCAAGUUAAGAAAUCCAUAUCCAGAAAUUCGGAGGAUGAUCGAAGUUCCUCAAUCCGCCAAGUGAAAGUUAAAAAAGCCAUUUCAAGAAAUUCGGAGGAUGAUCGAAGCCCCUCAUUCCAACAAGGGCAAGUUAGGAAAGCCAUUUCAAGAAGUUCCGAAAAUGACCGAAGUUCCUCUUUGCCCCAACAGCAAGUCAAGAAACCUACUUCCCGGAGUUCAAAAGAUGGCUUGUCAUCCCAGAAGACACACGUUGGGAAGCCAGUUUGCAGAAAUGGAGAAGAUCCAGAUUGCUCAUUAGAGAAAGAGCCGUCUGAAAAUCCUGGCAGUGCGAAUGGAGAAGAUUUAGGCUUAUCCCCAGAAAAACUUGUUGAGGAGCCCAGUUGCAGAUACAGAGAUGACAUGGACCACUCCCGCCAAACAGAGUCGGCUAGGGAGCCUUUUUGCAGAGAUGGACAAGAUGAUCUAGGCGACUCCUGCAACGAAGAGAUUGCUAAGCCAUUUUGUUUGAAUGGCCAAGACGCAUUGGGUUCAAAUGUCUCUCCUGCCACCAUCGUUUCUGCAGGAGAUGGCUCUGAUGGCUUAAGCGUGUCACAGGCUAACGGUGCUGAGCCCCCUGAAUCUACUGCAGCCGAUGGGUGUUCCGACAAAGACAUCAGUUCUCCAGUGGAUGAGGUCAGGUCUGAGAAGACUGACGAUACUUCAGCACGAGAUUAUUCAGCAAAGCCCAGCCACAAGUCAUUUGUGGUAGACGAGACUAGACGAAAAACUUACCAUGAACAUGAAGACCAGCCUUCAUCAGAUUCUGACCUAAUAUUUGAUGUCUUCUGUGCGGAGCCAAAAGAGCUGAUAAAUGUUGGACUUCAUGCUGAGCACUCUUAUGCAAGAAGUUUGGCUCGUUUUGCUGGUUCACUUGGUGCCCAAGGUUGGAGAAUUGCUUCUGAGCGUAUUCAGCAGACAUUACCUGCUGAAGUGAGGUUUGGACGUGGCUGGGUUGGAGAAUAUGAGCCACCAUUGCCACCUAUUCUAGUUAUGCAAGACCAGUUACGAAGUCAGGUUAGCUCUGAUACGAAUAUGCAAAGGAAUGCUUCAGUGCCCAGAGAUAAUGAAAGACUCAGACCAACAGAAAGCAUUAAUUCAAAGGAUAUGAGCUUGAGUCUACUUAAUCGGAUAACCAGUGUUAAUAAUGUAAUUGGUGUGACUGGUUCACUUGAGAGUCCAGAACUUAAGCCAAGAUUAUUUGGUGUUUCUGCUGAACCCCAGCACAGGAACACUGAUGCCUUACCACUGCAUGAUAAACACAGAGCAUCUAGAAAUGCUGUGAAGACGAAAAGGGCAACCAAUGAUCAAGUUAGGAAAGGCAGACACUCCUCCAAUGCCUGCCCUCCUGAAGUGCAACCACAGAGGUCUGAAUGUUCAAAAGGAGCUUCUAGUGUGCUUGAUGUGCCUGCCGUGAACAAAAUGGCUGGUCACCGACCUUUUUUCCAACCGCCAGAAGCAGUCAGAGCUCAUCAAAUGAAAAAAAGCGACUCGUCUCAAAGUGCUCAGAGCACGAAAGGUCCUGGUGUUCAUGAUAUGCUUUCCCCAAACAAUGGUGUUGGGCAUCCUAAACCCUUCUUCCAAUCUCAGGAACCAGUUGCACCACAGCCCAAAAAUGAAGCUACAUGGGUGUACCAUGGAAGACCUGGUGAUGCAAAGUUUGGAACUUCUGAGAAAAGCAGACAAACGAGCAACAUUGGAUUCAUUACUAAAAAUGAACCGGUAAAUGCCAAUGGCUUUGCCAUGAAUGCGAGCGCACAGAAUAAUAUUAGUGACCAUGCAAAGUCAAUGGUACCAACCGCGGUACCUGGCCAAGUAAACGUAUCAAACCGAGGGUUUGAUGCUCCCAGGAACAUUUUCUCAGCAUUUCCAACAGCUGUUAGGGAGAACCAGGGCAUUCCGUCUGCUCCAGUAGCCCAAUCUUGGAUCUCAUUUGGUGCUUCAUCAGAGAACAAACCAACCAUAGUGAGUCCGAAUUUUAAUGACGGCAACUCUGGCUGGAAGAUGCCAUUUGCAAAUGUCCGAACUUGUGACGAAAUGAAGAUAAGUGCUGUUCCUCAGUUCUUUAGACAACCUGUUCAGGUUCCUAGAGAAAGUCCAGGUCAAAACAAGGGCUUGGUGAUAUUUCCACAGUUGGUCCAGACAGAUUUCUCAAGAUCACAGGGCCAAUCACAAUGGCAAGGGUUGGUUCCUCACAUGCAACAGAAGCCAAACAUGGAUAUGCUCCGUCCAGACUUGAACAUUGGGUUUCCCUCUCCAGGUUCACCACCAGCUCGACAGUCUUCGGGCAUCAAUUUGGAAGCACAACAGCCAGAUCUCGCCUUGCAGUUAUAA
Molecule: ribosomal RNA, 3573 nt
Filed under: Triticum aestivum (bread wheat)
Lineage: Eukaryota; Viridiplantae; Streptophyta; Magnoliopsida; Poales; Poaceae
Description: partial small subunit ribosomal RNA
Source: RNAcentral